AAUAGAUACCCAGGUAGUCCACGCCGUAAACGAUGAGUGCUAAGUGUUAGAGGGUUUCCGCCCUUUAGUGCUGCAGCUAACGCAUUAAGCACUCCGCCUGGGGAGUACGGCCGCAAGGCUGAAACUCAAAGGAAUUGACGGGGGGCCCACACAAGCGGUGGAGCAUGUGGUUUAAUUCGAAGCAACGCGAAGAACCUUACCAGGUCUUGACAUCCUCUGACCUCCCUGGAGACAGGGCCUUCCCCUUCGGGGGACAGAGUGACAGGUGGUGCAUGGUUGUCGUCAGCUCGUGUCGUGAGAUGUUGGGUUAAGUCCCGCAACGAGCGCAACCCUUGACCUUAGUUGCCAGCAUUGAGUUGGGCACUCUAAGGUGACUGCCGGUGACAAACCGGAGGAAGGUGGGGAUGACGUCAAAUCAUCAUGCCCCUUAUGACCUGGGCUACACACGUGCUACAAUGGAUGGUACAAAGGGCUGCGAGACCGCGAGGUUAAGCCAAUCCCGAGAAACCAUUCCCAGUUCGGAUUGCAGGCUGCAACCCG
RNAcentral lists this ribosomal RNA (540 nucleotides) under uncultured bacterium. RNAcentral describes it as "bacterial SSU rRNA". It matches the Rfam family "Bacterial small subunit ribosomal RNA", at positions 777 to 1314 of the family's 1533-position model. The record is from RNAcentral.